GGAAAUUCAAAAAGAAGGAGAAGUGUUGUUAGUUUAUUGUAGAGCAGAGGACCAGAUUGCUGAUGGUUUUACUAAAGCUUUGCCUAAAGCCAAAUUUGCAGAUUCAAGAAAUAAAAUGGGAGUUUGCAGCAUAAAAAACAAGGAGGAGUGUUAGAAAUUGUCUUAGAUACUGCUGAUUUGCUAAAGUUGUUAAACGUGAUAUUUAGUUCCUAUUUUUCUGUUUAAGUGGGUUGUUAAAUGACUUGGUCUACAACCUGUAAUCAAGUUUUUUUUUUCUCUUCUUUUUCUGUUAAGCAUGUUUCCAUGUUUUGAUCAUGGUUAGAAUCAUGGACCAUGAUCUUCAUCAUCAGUUAUUUUUAUUUUGUAUUUAAACAAUAUUUUGUUUUAAUGAAAAGUGUGGGGUUCAGUUCUGUUCUUCUCCUUCUCUGUUUUGCAACUGAAUCUGUAAUCAAGUUUUUUUUUCUCUUCUUUUUCUGUUAAGCAUGUUUCCAUGUUUUGAUCAUGGUUAGAAUCAUGGACCAUGAUCUUCAUCAUCAGUUAUUUUUAUUUUGUAUUUAAACAAUAUUUUGUUUCAAUGAAAAGUGUGGGGUUCAGUUCUGUUCUUCUCCUUCUCUGUUUUGCUAACAUUUGGUAUCAGAGCCUGGUUAUCUUAAAGGACCUGUGAUCGUUUGAGUGUGAGUUUUUUUCCCGUUGAGUGUUAUACAGAAAUACUAACCCUCUCCAAGUUUCAAAUCUUGAUUCAAAUGGCUUCAAAAGAUUAUUGUCCUGUUCCACCUCCAGUGUUCACUGGAGAAAAUUAUCAAUCAUGGGCAGUUAAAAUGACUGCUUAUCUACAAGCAUGGGAUCUUUAGGAAGCAGUGGCUGAAGACCUUGAAAUUGAUCAACUGCCUGAGAAUCCAACUAUGCAGCAGAUCAAAACACACAAGGAGAGAACUACAAAGAAGUUUAAGGCCAAAACAUGUUUGUAUUCAGCUGUGUCUGAAUCACUUUUUACCAGGAUUAUGAACUUGGAGACUGCCUUUCACAUUUGGCAGUACCUCAAGACAAAGUUUCAAGGUAAUGCGCGUACCAAAAGCAUGAGUAUCUUGAAUCUCAGAAGGGAACUUGAACUACAAAAGAUGAAAGACUCUGAAACUGUAAAAGAGUAUGUUGAUAGGCUGCUGGAUAUUAUCAACAAGCUUAGGCUUCUUGGUGAAAAAAUUCCAGAUAGCAGAGUUGUUGAGAAGAUUCUGGUAACAUUACCAGAAAGAUUUGAAGCCAAAAUUUCUGCACUAGAGGAGGUUCGUGACCUUACAGAAAUUUCCUUGACUGAGUUGCUAAAUGCUCUUUAUGCACAAGAGCAAAGAAGGCAGAUUAGAGAAGAUGGUUCAAUUGAAGGUGCAUUGCAAGCCAAGUUGCAACUUAAGGACACUUGGAAAAAUAAGAAAAAAAAAGGGAAAGAAGAGCAAAGACAAUUCAGGUGCAGGUGUUGGAAGCAAUUCUUUUCCUGGAACAAGCAACAAUGGUGUAGCAGGCAACAAAGGAAGAAAUUAUCACCCUUGUCAACAUUGUGGCAGAACCAAUCAUCCUCAUUUUAGAUGUUGGAGCAGACCUGAUGCAAAAUGCAACACAUGCAAUCAGAUGGGGCAUAUUGACAAAAUUUGCAAAAACAAAGGCAAUCAGGUAGUGAAUGAGGCUCAAGCUGUGAAUCAGGAGGAGGAAGAACAAUUAUUUGUGGCAUCUUGCUACGUUAGUUCGGCUGAUACUUGGCUUGUUGACAGCGGUUGCACCAAUCAUAUGUCCAACAAUAUCGAACUCUUCAAGGUUCUUGAUAAGACAUUGCUAGAAAUUGUCUUAGAUACUGCUGAUUUGCUAAAGUUGUUAAACGUGAUAUUUAGUUCCUAUUUUUCUGUUUAAGUGGGUUGUUAAAUGACUUGGUCUACAACCUGUAAUCAAGUUUUAGGAAAUUUAUUAUUUUUUUUUUCUUUUUCUGUUAAGCAUGUUUCCAUGUUUUGAUCAUGGUUAGAAUCAUGGACCAUGAUCUUCAUCAUCAGUUAUUUUUAUUUUGUAUUUAAACAAUAUUUUGUUUCAAUGAAAAGUGUGGGGUUCAGUUCUGUUCUUCUCCUUCUCUGUUUUGCUAACAUUUGGUAUCAGAGCUCCUUAUCUUAAAGGACCUGUGAUCGUUU
This 2165-nucleotide long non-coding RNA is filed under the name Manihot esculenta (cassava). Its description in RNAcentral is "long non-coding RNA (MESC_LNC000630)". The record is from RNAcentral. Lineage: Eukaryota; Viridiplantae; Streptophyta; Magnoliopsida; Malpighiales; Euphorbiaceae.